RNAcentral lists this unclassified non-coding RNA (281 nucleotides) under plant metagenome. RNAcentral describes it as "partial contains small subunit ribosomal RNA, internal transcribed spacer 1, and 5.8S ribosomal RNA". The record is from RNAcentral.
UUUCCGUAGGUGAACCUGCGGAAGGAUCAUUAUUGUAUAACCGAGGUGCGAGGGCUGUCGCUGACCCGAAAGGUCGUGCACGCCCGAGUGCCCUCACACACAUCCAUCUCACCCCUAUGUGCACCACCGCGUGGGUCCCCCUUUGGCUUGUUCGGAGGGGGGCUUACGUUUUCACACAAACUUUGUAUGCAGUGUAGAAUGUAUUUUUUGUUUUUGCGAUCACGCAAUCAAUACAACUUUCAACAACGGAUCUCUUGGCUCUCGCAUCGAGAAGAAGCAGC